RNAcentral lists this long non-coding RNA (1041 nucleotides) under Oryctolagus cuniculus (rabbit). RNAcentral's name for it is "lncRNA (ENSOCUG00000036489.1)". Lineage: Eukaryota; Metazoa; Chordata; Mammalia; Lagomorpha; Leporidae. The record is from RNAcentral.
CUAGCACCUGGGGCCAGUUGGCAGUGCCGGCUGGCCAGCCUCCUAGAGCCAGGGCUGGCUGCAGCAGGCUCCGCGAGCGGGCGGGCGGGCGGUCGGAAGCCGAAGGGGACCCGCCCGCCCGCUCCGCUCCGAAGCGCGCCCGCCCUGGAGGCCAGGACCCCAGGGGGCAGAAGUGGGUCUGGCUUUGCAUUGGCCGACCAGCGGGAGGGAGCCAGCCAGGGGCAGCCAGUUGCAUCCUCCCGGGAACUGCCAGCGGAGGCUUUUGGGGAGCGCGCUGCCAACUCUUGGCUUGGCCGGGGGAGACCUGCCGUCUCUGUGGCUCCAGCCGGCCAGCAGGCUGCAGGGUCGGGCGCAGCGGCCGUGGGGCUCUGGAGCUUGCUGCCCUGCCCGUGGGCGGGGCCUCCACGGGCCAGCCAGGUGGCACAGGGUUCCUGGGGCUGCGCCUCGUCCCGGCGCGGCCCGGCCCAAGGGAGGUGGGGGGAACCUCGGAGGCGCCCAGGAACGCAAGAGGGCCCAGACUGCGGCCCUGCCGGCCCUCGGAGAGGGCCCACGCGUGUCUGCUCGGGCUCAGGAGGCCACGGUGGGACAGCCAGUACCCCAGCACCGAGCUCAUCUCGCGUGGACCACCCAGUGCGCGUCAGGAGUAGGUGUGUCCCAGCAGGAGCCCCUAGGAACAGCCCUGCCCUACCAGCUCUUAGCACAGGGAGUCCUGGUCUGCACAUGCAUGAGCCAGGGAGCCAGAGAGCCAGAGGAGGACGCUGCCGUGGGCUCGAACUGUCCUCAGAGAAUGUUGGUAUGACCCGGGGAUCCAAGGGAGGUGGGGGGAACCUCGGAGGCGCCCAGGAACGCAGGAGGGCCCAGACUGCGGCCCUGCCGGCCCUCGGAGAGGGCCCACGCGUGUCCGCUCGGGCUCAGGAGGCCACGGUGGGACAGCCAGUACCCCAGCACCGAGCUCAUCUCGCGUGGACCACCCAGUGGGCGUCAGGAGUAGGUGUGUCCCAGCAGCAGCCGCCCCCCACCCCGGGCACGGCCCCUCCCUAG